This 108-nucleotide ribosomal RNA is filed under the name Monopterus albus (swamp eel). Lineage: Eukaryota; Metazoa; Chordata; Actinopteri; Synbranchiformes; Synbranchidae. The record is from RNAcentral.
GCUUGUGGCCAUACUUCUGUGUGACAACCUGACCUUGGUAGCUAAGUAGGGACAAGCCUGGUUAAUACGUGGAUGGGGGAUUCCUUGGAAUACCAAGUGCCCCAAGCU